RNAcentral lists this transfer RNA (72 nucleotides) under Pangasius djambal. Its description in RNAcentral is "tRNA-Gly". It matches the Rfam family "tRNA". From Rfam's summary of the family: Transfer RNA (tRNA) molecules are approximately 80 nucleotides in length. Their secondary structure includes four short double-helical elements and three loops (D, anti-codon, and T loops). Further hydrogen bonds mediate the characteristic L-shaped molecular structure. tRNAs have two regions of fundamental functional importance: the anti-codon, which is responsible for specific mRNA codon recognition, and the 3' end, to which the tRNAs corresponding amino acid is attached (by aminoacyl-tRNA synthetases). tRNAs cope with the degeneracy of the genetic code in two manners: having more than one tRNA (with a specific anti-codon) for a particular amino acid; and 'wobble' base-pairing, i.e. permitting non-standard base-pairing at the 3rd anti-codon position. The record is from RNAcentral. Lineage: Eukaryota; Metazoa; Chordata; Actinopteri; Siluriformes; Pangasiidae.
UCCUUGGAGGACUAGUGGUUAGGCCACAGCGCUCCCACUGCUGUGGCCCAGGUUCGAUUUCUGGCCAGGGAA